GAUGAACGCUGGCGGCGUGCCUAAUACAUGCAAGUCGAGCGAACGGACGAGAAGCUUGCUUCUCUGAUGUUAGCGGCGGACGGGUGAGUAACACGUGGAUAACCUACCUAUAAGACUGGGAUAACUUCGGGAAACCGGAGCUAAUACCGGAUAAUAUUUUGAACCGCAUGGUUCAAAAGUGAAAGACGGUCUUGCUGUCACUUAUAGAUGGAUCCGCGCUGCAUUAGCUAGUUGGUAAGGUAACGGCUUACCAAGGCAACGAUGCAUAGUCGACCUGAGAGGGUGAUCGGCCACACUGGAACUGAGACACGGUCCAGACUCCUACGGGAGGCAGCAGUGGGGAAUCUUGGGCAAUGGGCGAAAGCCGGACGGAGCAACGCCGCGUGGGUGAAGAAGGUCUUCGGGUUGUAAACCUCUUUUAUUGGGAAAGAAAAGAGGUGGAAGAACCUGUGCCCAUUUUGACGGUACCUAACCAAAAAGCCACGGCUAACUACGUG
Molecule: ribosomal RNA, 497 nt
Filed under: uncultured bacterium
Lineage: Bacteria
Description: partial 16S ribosomal RNA
Rfam family: Bacterial small subunit ribosomal RNA
Source: RNAcentral